Small nuclear RNA from Myotis lucifugus (little brown bat), 122 nucleotides. Its record names the gene U4. It matches the Rfam family "U4 spliceosomal RNA". From Rfam's summary of the family: U4 small nuclear RNA (U4 snRNA) is a component of the major U2-dependent spliceosome. Lineage: Eukaryota; Metazoa; Chordata; Mammalia; Chiroptera; Vespertilionidae. The record is from Ensembl.
AGCUUUGCACAGUGGCAGUAUUGUGGCCAAUGAGUUUUAUCCCAGGCACAGUUAUUGCUAAUUGGAAAAAAAUAAUAAAGUAAAAGGGGAGACAGAGAUAUCAUUGGGAUUUCUCUAUGGAA